CAAGCAGAGCGGGCAGACGCCCCGAUAUCUAUCGGGGAGGAAAGUCCGAGCUCCGCCGGACAGGGUGCCGGGUAACACCCGGGAGGGGCGACCCUACGGAAAGUGCCACAGAAACAUACCGCCAGCGGUCUCGAUAAUAUCGGGAUGCGGGCAAGGGUGAAAUGGCGAGUUAAGAGCUCACCGGCAGGCGGGAGACCGUUUGGCCGUGAAAACCCCACCCGGAGCAAGGCCAAAUAGGGGGACAUAAAGGCGAGUCCGCGCUGUCCCCGGGUUGGCCGCAUGAGCCUGCCGGUAACGGCAGGACUAGAUAGAUGGCUGCCGUCCCGAUUACGUCGGGAUACAGAACUCGGCUUAUAGCUCUGCUUGGCUC
This 370-nucleotide RNase P RNA is filed under the name Dehalogenimonas etheniformans. Its description in RNAcentral is "RNase P RNA component class A". It matches the Rfam family "Bacterial RNase P class A". Rfam says of the family: Ribonuclease P (RNase P) is a ubiquitous endoribonuclease, found in archaea, bacteria and eukarya as well as chloroplasts and mitochondria. The record is from RNAcentral. Lineage: Bacteria; Bacillati; Chloroflexota; Dehalococcoidia; Dehalococcoidales; Dehalococcoidaceae.